GAACCGUCAAACGUUAUUCGGAAUUAUUGGGCUUAAAGGGUGCGUAGGCGGUGCAGGUAAGUUGGGGUGUGAAAUCCCUCGGGCUCAACCGAGGAACUGCGCCCAAAACUACUGUACUCGAGGGAGACAGAGGUAAGCGGAACUGAUGGUGGAGCGGUGAAAUGCGUUGAUAUCAUCAGGAACACCAGUGGCGAAAGCGGCUUACUGGGUCUCUUCUGACGCUGAGGCACGAAAGCUAGGGUAGCGAACGGGAUUAGAUACCCCGGUAGUCCUAGCUGUAAACGAUGAGCACUUGGUCGGAGAUUCCCCGAGGAUUUCCGGCCGUAGCGAAAGUGUUAAGUGCUCCGCCUGGGGAGUAUGGUCGCAAAGGCUGA
Molecule: ribosomal RNA, 374 nt
Filed under: uncultured organism
Description: partial 16S ribosomal RNA
Rfam family: Bacterial small subunit ribosomal RNA
Source: RNAcentral